This 427-nucleotide RNase P RNA is filed under the name Paracoccaceae bacterium. Its description in RNAcentral is "Rhodobacteraceae bacterium (activated sludge metagenome) RNase P RNA component class A". It matches the Rfam family "Bacterial RNase P class A". Rfam says of the family: Ribonuclease P (RNase P) is a ubiquitous endoribonuclease, found in archaea, bacteria and eukarya as well as chloroplasts and mitochondria. The record is from RNAcentral. Lineage: Bacteria; Pseudomonadati; Pseudomonadota; Alphaproteobacteria; Rhodobacterales; Paracoccaceae.
GCGGAGGGCCGGAUGGCCGCUGUGGCGGGGCAUACCCGGCGCAGAGGAAAGUCCGGACUCCAUGAAGCAUCGGUGCCGGGUAACGCCCGGGCGGGACCGGCGGGGCAACCUGCCGCGGCCCCGACGGAAAGCGCCACAGAGAACAGACCGCCGGCCCCCGGGCCGGCAAGGGUGAAACGGUGGGGCAAGAGCCCACCGCGGGGCCGGCAACGGCCACGGCACGGCAAGCCCCACCGGGAGCAAUGCCGAAUAGGACCCCCGCGCGGGCCGGUCCGGGCAACCGGAUACCGCCGCUAGGCCCGCUUCAGCCAAGAGGGGUCGGGUUGGCAGCAAGAGGCGCGCGGCGACGCGCGCCCCAGAUGAAUGGUCAUCGAACGGCGGGGCGACCCGCCGGGAACAGAAUCCGGCUUACAGGCCCUCCGCGCGC